RNAcentral lists this long non-coding RNA (524 nucleotides) under Rattus norvegicus (Norway rat). RNAcentral's name for it is "long non-coding RNA NONRATT028001". The record is from RNAcentral. Lineage: Eukaryota; Metazoa; Chordata; Mammalia; Rodentia; Muridae.
GGCCCCGGAGAGUGGACACCACUGAGCCUCAUUGUCCCGGAGUGAAGUUAGUUAGGGGUGGAAGGCUGGAAAAUGAGCAGGUGUCUGCCAGUGAAGGCCCGAGUUCCUACUGGUUAAUGUGGUGUUCUCUCAGUGAGCAAUAGAAAACUACAGAAGAAACGAGACACUGACAAUGUCGGACCUGGGGUCAGAUCACCACAGUUCCAGCAGCAGGUGAAUGGUACUGACCGGUUCCUCUAGAGACGUGGGAAGGGGCUUCCAUUCAAAGAGACCGAACAGGACCUGUCCAAGCUUCCAGCUACACCAGGCAGCGUUUAACCCCAAGGCUCACACUCAGAGCAAAGAGUGGGGAAGCACAGUUAGGCAUGGCGAACGAGGCUCUCCAGAGACAUCACAGGGCUCUUAGUCAUCUAUAAUUCUGACCAGCUGUUCUAAGUGCACCGUUUCAUGUCAUAUAAGGUUGCAGGGGCUUAAUGGGUCAUUUCUGCAAAAAACCAAAACCAAACCAAACCAACAGAAACAAA